This 713-nucleotide ribosomal RNA is filed under the name Bacillus amyloliquefaciens. RNAcentral describes it as "bacterial SSU rRNA". It matches the Rfam family "Bacterial small subunit ribosomal RNA", at positions 102 to 800 of the family's 1533-position model. The record is from RNAcentral. Lineage: Bacteria; Bacillati; Bacillota; Bacilli; Caryophanales; Bacillaceae.
ACGGGUGAGUAACACGUGGGUAACCUGCCUGUAAGACUGGGAUAACUCCGGGAAACCGGGGCUAAUACCGGAUGCUUGUUUGAACCGCAUGGUUCAGACAUAAAAGGUGGCUUCGGCUACCACUUACAGAUGGACCCGCGGCGCAUUAGCUAGUUGGUGAGGUAACGGCUCACCAAGGCGACGAUGCGUAGCCGACCUGAGAGGGUGAUCGGCCACACUGGGACUGAGACACGGCCCAGACUCCUACGGGAGGCAGCAGUAGGGAAUCUUCCGCAAUGGACGAAAGUCUGACGGAGCAACGCCGCGUGAGUGAUGAAGGUUUUCGGAUCGUAAAGCUCUGUUGUUAGGGAAGAACAAGUGCCGUUCAAAUAGGGCGGCACCUUGACGGUACCUAACCAGAAAGCCACGGCUAACUACGUGCCAGCAGCCGCGGUAAUACGUAGGUGGCAAGCGUUGUCCGGAAUUAUUGGGCGUAAAGGGCUCGCAGGCGGUUUCUUAAGUCUGAUGUGAAAGCCCCCGGCUCAACCGGGGAGGGUCAUUGGAAACUGGGGAACUUGAGUGCAGAAGAGGAGAGUGGAAUUCCACGUGUAGCGGUGAAAUGCGUAGAGAUGUGGAGGAACACCAGUGGCGAAGGCGACUCUAUGGUCUGUAACUGACGCUGAGGAGCGAAAGCGUGGGGAGCGAACAGGAUUAGAUACCCUGGUAGUCCACGC